Molecule: small nuclear RNA, 141 nt
Organism: Eptesicus fuscus (big brown bat)
Lineage: Eukaryota; Metazoa; Chordata; Mammalia; Chiroptera; Vespertilionidae
Product: U4 spliceosomal RNA
Exons: 1
Source: RefSeq, a predicted model, not a curated record
AGCUUUGCACAGUAGCAGUACUGUGGCCAAUGAGGUUUAUCCAAGGUGCAAUUAUUGCUAAUUGAAAACUUUUCCCAAUACUCCACCAUGACGACUUGGAAUAUAGUCAGCACUGGCAAUUUUUGAUGGUCUCUAUGGAGA